AAGUCGUAACAAGGUUUCCGUAGGUGAACCUGCGGAAGGAUCAUUAUACACGAUUCCAAAUCGUAUUAACCAACCGCGCACUCGUUUUGUACCCCCAAGUAUGUUCGAGCUAAAAAGUUUGAGAGUUGAGACAGUGUGGCUGUGCUACCUUCGGGUUUCAUGGCUUGCUCUCUUACCCGUCUAGGCCGUUCUUCGCGUCCGGAAAGCUUUAAUAUACUACGCUGUUGCGCUCCAGUGCCGUAAGGCACUGGGGUCGCUUACUUAACUCUAUUUACCCUUUUUAACAAGUUGUACUAAAAUGGUUAUUCUUUGUUUAAGAAACAAAAGAACAACUCUUAGCAACGGAUAUCUAGGCUCUC
This 359-nucleotide unclassified non-coding RNA is filed under the name fungal sp. RNAcentral's name for it is "partial internal transcribed spacer region". The stretch from base 1 to 46 matches the Rfam family "Eukaryotic small subunit ribosomal RNA", at positions 1786 to 1831 of the family's 1831-position model. Lineage: Eukaryota; Fungi. The record is from RNAcentral.